AGAGAAAGCUGGGACAGAUUCAGGCUGCUUUCAAAUGCCAGUUGGUCCUCAGCGUGGGAAGGGGGCGGCCAGCACAGGGCUGCUGCAGAGGACAGACGCAAGGCCAGUGGGAGGAAGUUCUGGGAAGCAGAUGUCCACAGAACACAAGAUCGACGGUAGGCGGCGAGGACCGUGCCACGCAGCUCGCCGUGUGUUUGGGUAGAGGCCAAUGCCUCCCUACGAGGGCACUGAACUGGCAUUUGCCUGUCUGGCUGCUGCCAACCUAGCAUCUCACCAUCGCUCCAUUCCUGGUGGCAGCUCCUGGAUUUUCCUUGGGGGAAUCAACCUUCCUCAGUGACUGUCCAUGAGGUUCAGGAAGGGGUCUCGGGGGAACCCAUGGUCCCUGCUUCCCCAGCCACAGCAAGCCUUUUGCUCUGUCUCAGGGCUGGAUGCUUGAUUCCAGCCUGUGCAGUCCAAAACAGAGGCAUCUUGGAGCUGCUGGGAAAAAGCAGCUCUCUUUCCACGUGGGUUAGUAAGCUGUAAGGAUGUAAUCACAGCACUAGUAGCAACCAUCUUGUCACCACAUAAGAAAAGCUGGCCAGGGAAAGCCCACGCAGAGAACUGCAGAAGCAAGACAUGAGGACAUAUUCUAGACAUCAUUUGACUCUCUGGAUCAAGCUGUGCCCGAACCCCUUAAAUUUGCUGUUAUAUAAAGCAAUAACUUCCAUAUAAGCCAAGAAGUUUCAGUUAACUUUAUGGCACUUGCAGGUGGCAGUUCUGACCUGUCUACCUGCUCUGUAGGCAGACAGGAGCAGAGGCCCUUCCAAGGAACCAGAUACACUGUAAAGAUGGACAGACCGAAAUGAAGAGCAAAGUUCAAACUCCUUAGCAAGGUUCCCAGUGCAUUCUCUGUUCUGUCUGGCCCUAAAGAGACUGCGGAGCAGGGUGGGGUCAGAGGACCUUGGGGGACCCUAGCUUCCAUCUCACUUUAUACAGUCUGAGGAUGAGUUGAUAUAAUGUAUAGUGAAUGCCAGGCGCUGUGCAGGUGAGCACCACGUGAGCAUUGGCACCCUGCCCCUCUACCUUGGCCUUCCUAACGGAGACAGUGAUGGCCAUAUGCCCCCAAGUGCCAUGGUCUCCUCCAACUUCCUGGGAAUUUUCUGCUCAUCUGCAGAGCUCUCUGUGUACACAUGAAAGGUCUGGUAUUUUCCAUACUUUCCUCAUCUAUCCAUCCACCCAGUUGUGUCCCAGGCAGUGUGCUGGGUGUAGGGGACUCAGAGGCUAAUGAGUCACACCCCUGACAUUAGAGAGAUAAAUGCAGAUGACCUGUGCCAGGCCAAAAGUACCCUGCAACUUAAUUCCAGGUCUUUAAUUGAGCUUCCUGCUGGGUGGCUCAGAGUAGAAGUCUAAGAGGUGCUAAUAGUCGUCUCACCUUCAGCUGAAGCAAGCUGAGAACAGAACCAAUCUAGAGGCCAUUAGGGCCAAGAAAGGAAGAGAAGAAACUAGAGCCCUGAGGACACUGUCUGAGACCCUGGAUCCACC
This 1521-nucleotide long non-coding RNA is filed under the name Marmota monax (woodchuck). The record is from RNAcentral. Lineage: Eukaryota; Metazoa; Chordata; Mammalia; Rodentia; Sciuridae.